GCCGCUGUAGCUCAGUUGGUAGAGCAGAGGACUGAAAAUCCUCGUGUCAUCAGUUCAAUUCUGAUCGGCGGCA
This 73-nucleotide transfer RNA is filed under the name Spirochaetaceae bacterium. Its description in RNAcentral is "tRNA-Phe". It matches the Rfam family "tRNA". Rfam says of the family: Transfer RNA (tRNA) molecules are approximately 80 nucleotides in length. Their secondary structure includes four short double-helical elements and three loops (D, anti-codon, and T loops). Lineage: Bacteria; Pseudomonadati; Spirochaetota; Spirochaetia; Spirochaetales; Spirochaetaceae. The record is from RNAcentral.